This 72-nucleotide transfer RNA is filed under the name Thermodesulfobacterium geofontis. Its description in RNAcentral is "tRNA-Thr". It matches the Rfam family "tRNA". From Rfam's summary of the family: Transfer RNA (tRNA) molecules are approximately 80 nucleotides in length. Lineage: Bacteria; Pseudomonadati; Thermodesulfobacteriota; Thermodesulfobacteria; Thermodesulfobacteriales; Thermodesulfobacteriaceae. The record is from RNAcentral.
GCCGGCGUAGCUCAGAGGUAGAGCACCCGAUUCGUAAUCGGGAGUGCAUGGGUUCGAAUCCCAUCGCCGGCU